Long non-coding RNA from Heterocephalus glaber (naked mole-rat), 1882 nucleotides. NCBI's taxonomy places the organism in Eukaryota, Metazoa, Chordata, Mammalia, Rodentia, Bathyergidae. The record is from Ensembl.
GUUGGGGUGGAGUGGCAGCCCUGUCUGGGGUCAGGAAGGCUGGGGUAUCUAAUAGAGUUCCUGUCUUGGCACUGCUACUCAUAAGGUGCGUUCUUGGGCACUCUCUCUGGGCCUGGUAUCAUUUAUUUAAAAUGUAAGAAUCCUCUGAGGGUUGGGGGCGAAUCCAGCAAGAUGAUGUGAGGGAGGACGUCAGAGUAGCUUUUUGGUGAGAUGGUGGUCAUUACCAUCAUUUCACUGUGCUUGCGGCUGAGUGACUCCAUGUGUGCAAGAUCCCCUGCUCAGCUCAGCACUGCGGGGUGUGGGGCUGGGGCAAGGGUUCUGGAGAUCAUCAGGUCAGUUCCAGAUGGUUCCACAGGGUCACCCCAGGUCAGGAGGACAGGGAAGAGAGGCAGAGAGGGCUGUCCCCUGAGCACCUCCCAUGCAGGAUGUGUCUUAGAGUCAUCACAGUGCUCUACCCCCAAUUGUCAGUCAGACAUGAGGACUGCAGAGAGGUCCUCAGUUGUUGGAGCAACACUGUGGAGAGAUCUACAAAGCACAGCACCUCAGGAAAGAAGCACCGAGUGGAAAGGGUCAUUCAUGUGAACAGGAAGCACAAACUGCACAUAAACACCACGUGCUUCCUGUGUUUGUGUGAAUACAUCAGACAAAUUCAAGUGGAUGGCUUUUGGAAGCAAGAGAAAGGAAGUGGACAAGGAGAUGGGAAGACCAGAAGAAAAAUUUAUAAGACAAAUGGGAGUUCUAACAUAGGCAAAAACUCAGGAAGAUCAAUGUCACAUUCUGCAUCUUCAAAAGUAGGAGAAGCAAACAGAGAAGGGAAAUCUCUGACUCCUUCCUGACCUGGGAAACAGUUUACAAUUAACAUUCCUGGUUUAGUCUCCACCCCCUCUUGAAAUGGAAUUUUUAUCUCUUGAUUCCUGCUACAAGAUGCGAUGCCUGUUUAUCCAGUUGCAUGAAUAAUUGGUCAGCUCUUUCCAACUUGCCAGAAGCAACCCCUGGCCGUUUCUGGAGCACUGGGAGAGACCUUCGCACAGUUUCUGCUUGGAGUCCACCGCUCUUCAUCUCAGGUCUAGACAGCUACCUGUUCUAUUUGGCUUAGCCUGUGCUGCAGAAAGUCCCAGUUCUUCCAAAUCAAGCUCCAGGAAAUUGAGAAGCAUGUUAUUAGUUUUAGCAAACAAUUUAAACAAAACUAAGACCAGAUCUCCCAGCAAUGGUGAAGGAUCUCAAGGGAGACCUUGGUCACAGUGGGCCUGGCUUCCCUACAGGCACUGCCUGCCAUAGAGGACAAGCCAUCGAAAAGUGAGGGAGAAGAACAAUGACGCUGCCAGUGAUCCUGCCCCCAGCGUGGACCCUGCUGCUCCUUGAGGAAAUACACGGUCCUGGGAGCUCCGCUAGUGGGGUGCGCACCAUCCCACAGUGGUUCUGGUGCCUAAGAUGUACAUUAGUUGGACCACACCAACCAGCCUUGCACGACCGUUCUGAGUAAUUGAGAGGAGGUGGGUGCUCAGCACUGGGAUCUCUGGGUGAGGUUAGCUCCUAGUAACAAUGGAGAGAAGAGGCCAGGUACCAGGAGUUCACUACAGCCAGUCUCUGCCCACCUCCAGGCACAGACUCUUCCUCCACAAGACAUCCACAGCAUGCCAGAGGGAGCCAGGAGUGUAGGCAGGCUGACACCACGAUGUUUGUUUUCUUCUCUUUUCCUUAUGCAAACCACAUUUCUCUUCCAGAGAACUGUAAAACAGAAAAGAUCAUCAUUCACAGGUUCAUCAACAGAUGCUACAAAGCGGGUGGGUUAUGAGCUCAAGGUGAGAACUGUGGAGAUGGACUUUUCUCCUGGAGAUGAGAGCCGCUGAGGAUUCUGAGCAUCACAGGAUGUCAUGGGCAC